Molecule: long non-coding RNA, 1345 nt
Filed under: Marmota monax (woodchuck)
Lineage: Eukaryota; Metazoa; Chordata; Mammalia; Rodentia; Sciuridae
Source: RNAcentral
CUUAAUCAAAACUCCAUGGUGUUUCAUCUUUUGGGGGGCUUUUCUGUGUUAAAUUCCUCUCUGAGGUCACUUUUUCCAUUGUAGCUCCCAGCAGGAGGCCUCUUCAUCAGCACUAUUCAGCAGUUCCUGCCAAAGUUUAUAGUUCUUCUAUCCAGAAGCUCUUAUUCAUCAGCCAUGUUUUACCUUGACUGUUUACAGAAUAAUAUGCUGUCCUCUGAGCAAUAGCCUAGUUUUCCCUCCUUUCUAGCCAAUGACUAUUCUGUUUCUUACCACCUCCAUUCCAGCAGUCUGAUUCUCCUGGUGAUCUUUAAGUAAGAACUGCUUAUGCUUACUAGGAAGGAGAAUGGAAAAAUCACAUGUCUCUGGGGCUAUUAUAAUGCCCAGCUAUAUUGUGCUAUUAUAAUGUUUAUAUGAAUCUGGAAAUUUCCCCAAAAACCAGUGUAAGCAAAAUCAAAGAUUAAGUUUUUGGUUUUAGGCUUACUGAGUGGAGAGAACAUCAAAAAGUAUUUUGUUAAAGUUUACAUCAUUUAUUUAUUAAUUUAUCUUAAGGCAUUACUAGUAUUUUAAUUAGGCAGCCAUAAAAAUAUUUCUAUAGGUUGAAUGGCUUAAAGAACAGAAGUUUAUUUUCUCACAGUUCUGGAAGUUCGAGGUCAAGGUGCCAGCUGACUGAGUUCACAGCUCUUUGCGCUCUGUGCAUGUUCAACUCCUGGCUGUGCUCCCACAUGGCCUUUUCUCUGUGUGGCGUGUCCUGAAGUUUCUCCCUCUUCUUAUAAGGACACCAGCCCUAUUCACUUAGGGCCCCAUCCUUAUGACUUUAUUUAACCCUAAUUACCUCCCUACAGGCCCCGUCUCCAAAUUCAGUCACAUUUGGAUGUUAGGGCAUCAACUUAUGAAUUUGGGACCAAGGGACAUACUGUGGUCCAUAACAACUGGACCCCCUCUGUGUGCUUAGAUACUAUAGUAAGUGCUGGGAAUACAAGGAUUAAUGAGACAUGACCCCUGCCCUAAAAGAACACAUAGCCAACUAUACAGCUCUCCUUACCUAGACUCUAGAAGCAUGUUAUCAAUGUGAAUGCAGGGACACUUGUCACGCUGUGAAGGAGGCAUAUGUAGUUUGUGCAGUUUACUUAAGAAUGAAGACGAUUCAACAACUUGGAUAAAAUACUUUUUAAACAAUGAUUGUAUGUGUAUUAUUUGUCUGAAAGGACUCAAUGUUGGGACAGAUACCAAGAAAAAUUGCACAGUGCACCUCAUGGAGGUGAUUGACUAGAAAGGGGGAAAACCUGUGUAUGAAAUGAUUUGGGAGCAUUAUAAGACAGUAUAAGGUAUAAUCCCUAAAUUAUAG